This is a long non-coding RNA of Mauremys mutica (yellowpond turtle), 307 nucleotides long. RefSeq lists it as uncharacterized. Lineage: Eukaryota; Metazoa; Chordata; Testudines; Geoemydidae. The transcript has 3 exons. The record is from RefSeq and is a predicted model, not a curated record.
GACUGGGUUAUAGUACAUUGGCUCAGAGGACCUCAGAGUGCUUUCUAAACAGCUUAACCUUCAUUUCCUACCUGUGAGAGGCACCUAGAAGCCCUAGCUGAGAUCAGAGACUGGUUGUGUGAAAUGUUGUACAAACACCCAGCAAGAGACAGUCCCUGCCCCAAAGAACUUACAUGAUCAAUGAUUUGGAGAGUAUGAAGUGCACCCUCCAUAUGGGCACGUCUCUGCUCUGGACAUACCACUUUUCAAUCACACAAAGGCAGCCCGAGGGCCCCAGUAGUCACUUUCUUACGGUACUGAUUCUCUG